This is an RNA transcript of Stegostoma tigrinum, 3923 nucleotides long. It is a transcript of the gene named gastrula zinc finger protein XlCGF8.2DB-like, with no coding region annotated. NCBI's taxonomy places the organism in Eukaryota, Metazoa, Chordata, Chondrichthyes, Orectolobiformes, Stegostomatidae. The record is from RefSeq and is a predicted model, not a curated record. The transcript has 3 exons.
CGGAACGGGGUCACCAGCGUGGAGGCUGUAUUUCCCUCGGUUCCACAAAGGUAUAUUCAAAGAGGAGUGGCAGUCGGGGAAAUUUCAACCAGGCAUCGCUUCAAAUGCAGUCAGUAUCACUCAACCUGAGCCUUAUCAGCUGCUGAACGGAGAGAAGAGUCUGCCUAAGUCUAGACGUUGGAAGUCGAAUAAUGGCAAAGACAAGGCUCUGAAGACAGAGAUGCCUGAACUGACCUGAGCAAUGAAGUUUUUGGGUGAUUGGACGAGACAUAGUGUCAGACGUUUUAAGAUGAUAUUUCUGUACCUUCUGCAAAGUUACUUUCCAGUGUGAAAGAAGGAUUCUAGAAGGCUGCACAUCUGUGGAUAACUAAGAACAUUAAAGGCGCAUAAAAUUGAAAGAUGACAAAAAUCAAAAUUAUGUGAAGAUGACAAAGAAUUUAACAAUAGUAUAGAGUUUUUAAAAGGUGGGAAUAGGGGAUAAACUCACCAGAAAUAUGAAAACAGAGGUUCUAAAAUAAACAUGUAUUAUUCUUCCACUGAGUUUGGGAAUGAAUAUUAGAUAUUAAGGAAUUGACAGAAAUGUUGAACAGAUAUUUUUGGGGUGUGUGCAUUGUAUGUACGUAACAGCACCACAACUGGCUCUGAUGUAGAGGAGGAUCCAUCUGAGCAAUAGUGGUCGGAGACUCUGGUUAGGGGCACAGACAGGCGUUUCUGUGGCCACGAUUGAGACUCCUGGAUGAUGUGUUGCAUCCUUAGCGUCAGGGUCAAGGGUGUCUCUGAGUGGUUGCAUGAAAUUCUUAAGGGGCAGGGUAGCAGCCAGAGGUCUUUGUGCACAUUGGUACCGAUGAUGUAGGUACGAAGAGGGAUGAGAUCCUGUGGAGUGAGUACAGGGAAUUAGGAAAGAGGCUGAAGAGCAGUACCUCAAGGGUAGUAAUCUCUGGAUCACAACCAGUGAUAUGUGCUAAUGAGGCAAGGAAUAGAAAGAUAGGACAAAUGAAUGUGUAGCCAAGGAGCUGCUGCAGAGGUCAGGGUUUCAGGUUCUUGGAUCAUUGGGACCUGUUCUGGAGUGGUGGUGGGACAGGCCUGGACAAGGGGGACAGGUUGCACCUAAACUGGAGUGGAACUAUUAUCUUUGCAGGAAGUUUCGCUAGUGCUACUUAGGAGGUUUUAAACUAGUGUGGCAGGGUUCUGGGAACCUGGGCAGCAGAUCAUCAAGUAGAGGGAUUGAGGGCAAAGUAGAUGCUUAGAGCAGUAAAUCAGAAUGUCACGUCUGCACUCAGAGGACCUGCUGGAGAUCUCAUCCACUGAGGCAACAUGGCUAGAGCUCAAAAAUAAAAUGCAUGCAAUCAGUCUGAUAGGAUUAUACUGUAGACCCCAACAGCCACUGAGAGUCUGAGGAACAAAUAUGUAAGCAGAUUAUGGAAUGGUGCAACAAAAACAGAGUUGUCAUAGUUGGGAGUGACUUUAAUGUCCCUGGAUUGACUGGGACUCGCUUAGAGCAAAAGGCUUAGAGGGGGCAGAAUUUAAGUGCAUCCAAGAGCGUUUUUUGAAACAGUAUGUGGAGAGCCCAACUGGAGGACGGGCCAUACUGGACCUUGUAUUGGCUGAUGAGCCUGGCCAGGUGACUGAUCUUUCAGUGGGAGAGCAUUUUGGAAACAGUGAUCGCAACUCCUUAAGUAUUAAGAUAGCUAUGAACAAGGAAAAGUCAGGACCUUGUGGGAAAGUACUAAGUGGGGGAGGGAAAAUUUACGUCAGUAUUCUCACAAUAGUAUUUAUGUAUAUUUGGAAAAGCGUGGCCGAAUUAGAGACAGUUAGCAUAGUUUUGUGCAGGUCAGGUCAUGUCUUACCAACUUGAUUUAAUUUUUUGAGGCGGUGACGACCAGGUCCCUCGUGGUAGGUUCGUCCAAAAGAUUAAGAUGUGUGGGAUCCAUGGUGACGUGGUCACAUGGAUUGAUAAUUGGUUUGCCUGUAAAAAACGGAGGGUAGUGGUGGAAGGUUGUGUUUCAGGCUGGAAGUUUGUGACUAGUGGUGUUCCGCAGGGAUCCAUACUGGGACCUUUGCUGUUUUGUGAUAUAUGUGACUUGGAUGAAAAUGUACACAGGUUGGCUCAUAAGUUUGCAGAUGAUAUGAAGCUCGGUGGAGUUGUGAAUAGUGUGAAAGAUUGUCAAAGGAUACAGAGAUAUAUAGUUCAGUUCCCGAAUAUAGAUUGAGAAAUGGCAGAUAGAGUUUAAUCACGAUAAGUAUGAGGUAAAUCACUUUGAGAGAUCAAAUGUUAAAGAAUGGCAUGGCCCUCACAGCACUGAUGUACAGAAGCAUCUUGGGGUUCAAGUCCAUAGUUCCCUGAAAGUAGCCGUACAGUUAGAUAGGGUGGUAAAGAAGGCGUAUGGCAUGCUUGCCUUUAUGGUUGGGGAAUUGAAUACAAGAGUCAGGAUGUCAUGUUGCAACUUUACAAGACAUUGGUUAGGCCACACUGAAGAGUAUUGUGUUCAGUUCUGGUUGCCACAUUACAGGAAUGGUGUGGAGGCUUUGGAGAGGGUGCAGAAGCUGUUUACCAGGAUGCUGCCUGGAAUAGAGGGUAUGAGCUAUAAGGAGAAGCUAGAACAACUCUGGUUGAUUCCUCUUGAGCAGGGGAGGCUUGAAAGAAGUGUGUAAAAUUAUGAGAUACAUAAAUAGCGUUGCUGGUCAGACUCUUUCUCCCAGCGUUGAAAUGUCUAAAACAAGGGGGCAUGCAUUUAAGGUUAUGGGGGAAGGUUCAGAGAGGAUGCGAGAGGUAUGCUUUUACGCACAGAAUGCUAGGAGUUUGGAAUGUGCUGCUGGGAUGAUGGCUGAGGCACAUACAGCAGGGGCAUUUAAGAGACUUUUAGAGAAGCACAUGAUAUGCAAAGAUUGGAGGGAUUUGGAGCAAGGGCAGGCAUUUGGCGUCAUGUUUGUCUCAAUGUCAUGGACCGAAGGGCCUGAUCCUGUGCUGUGAAGUUCUGUAAUCUAUCAAAAUUAAGGCAUGGAAGGGAGACAGAAACUUGAAAGAAUCACAGUCAUCAAAGAAAGGAUACAGAGACAGUGAUUAGAACUGAAGAUUGACAAGUAUCCAGAAUUUGAUGGCCUGCAUCUAGGAGUCUGAGAAGCAGUGGCUGUGGAAAUACCGCAUGCUCUAGUUCUACUUUUCCAAAAUAUUCACAAUUCUGUAAAGAUCCCUUCAAAUUAAAAAAUCACAAAUAUAAUUCCACUGUUCAAGAAACAAAAGAUACAGGAAGCAGGAAUUAACAGGCUUCUGAGCCUGAUUUUGAUCACAGAGGUUGUUAGAAUCUAUUUGGGAGGUUAUUAGAAUGACACUUAGAAGAACGAAAUGCAGUCUACAGAGUCAGUUGGGUCUGUGACGGAAAAUAGCAUUUGACAAGUUUAUUACUGUUUUUUGGGGAAUCAGUGUGGAUAAAACGCACCCUGCAGACGUGUUCUGAGAUUUCUAAGUGACAUUUUAAUAAGUGACGACACGAAAAGCUUCUGGUGAAGAGAAUGAUAUGAAUAUGAAUACCGGAUUGGUUAGAUAACAGGGAGCAGAGAGUGGAGAUAGCUGGAUGAUUUGCGGGUCAGAGCUGUAAUUAGUUAAGUGCCACAGGGAUCAGUGUUGGGACUUCAAUUUUCUUAUGACUUCAGUGACGAGACUGACUAUAUCAUCACUGUAUUUGUUGAUUUAAAAGUAGGUAGGAAAUGAAGUUAUAAAAAGGAUAGGAGGCAUUUGGGAUAAGUGAGCAGGAAAGAAAAUGACAGAUGGAAUAAAAUGUAAGAAAAUAUGGACUUGUGCAAUUUGUCAAGAAGACUAGAAAUGAGACAUGUUUCAGUUAGAGAUAAUAGGAACUGCAGACGCUGGAGAAUCCGAGAUAACAAAGUGUAGAGCUGGAUGAACACUGCAGGCCAAGCAGCAUCUU